Long non-coding RNA from Paramacrobiotus metropolitanus, 1524 nucleotides. RefSeq lists it as uncharacterized. The record is from RefSeq and is a predicted model, not a curated record. The transcript has 4 exons. Lineage: Eukaryota; Metazoa; Tardigrada; Eutardigrada; Parachela; Macrobiotidae.
UAUACUUCUACACAUAUACAGAAUCCCCGAAGAAACAAUUCCAUAGCUAACAUCCAAGUAAGCGCGGCUCAAUGUGCCCAACACCGACACCGACACAGAUGUGGAGAAACGUAUAAAACAACCUGGAUUCUCAGACCACAAUCAACAUCACGCCUAACUACGUAGAGGACGUAUAUACAUACCGGCUCCCGCAGCGCAGCCGAUCACAAUUACUGAGUAUUACACAAGCACAUGUAUUUCGUCAUCCAUACUGAGCUAUUCCCCAUUAUCCCUGCCAUGCUCCACAUCCCCGGAAGCCGGGAACAAUUGUCUUCUCAAUUGUCCGCUUUAUGAGCCAGUUCCCGUGCACCGCUGUCGAACACCGUCUGACGCACCACCACCGGCAACAAUGCUGCAAUCAUCCACUCCGCCAGAUCUAUAAAUACCCGGGAAUCCUCCACAUCCAACAAUCCAGUAAUCACCGCACUAUUUGAUCACGACGGAAUUCUUUAUUACAUUAACCCUAAAUUUACCGUUUAUUGUCGAUUACAUACCAGAUACCGGUACUUAUCUUUCACCGUUGAUUGUCUGACCAGGCACCGAGUAUAUAAGACGCCUCAUUAAAAAUGCUCUCCGCCGAUCACCAACAUCACUCCCGUUCGCGUUCCCCAUCACCGAACCCGCAUUCUCGCUCACCACAUCGUCACCAUCAUCAUCAUCAUAACCCGGCCGACGAGAUGCCCAACCCGCCGCCCCCGGGCCCGGACGGCGUGACCCCGCAGUAUAAUCUCCUUUUCGGACACAAACCGGAUGACCAUAAACAUGGACAUGGACACGGACACGAUAAACUGGAUGUCCACCAUGAUAAGCAACACCGGGACCAUUCGGCCGAUCGUCGAGGUCAUCAUGCCGGCGACACAGGGAGCCAAGGUCACGGUCAUAACGAUGGACACAUGCAUGCCGGUAAACAGGAGGAGCAUCAUGGAUUUGUCUCGGAUUUAUUGCACAAGAUGCAUCCCAAGCACUGACUUCUGUAAUUGCGAAUUUAUGAGAUGGAAUAUUUCGAGCAGCUUUGUACCAUGGCCAUUAUUGCAGACCGCCUUUCCACAUACUAUUGACAAAAAAAAACGGGAUUAAUCGAUUUAAUUCAUGGCGCAUUGUUGCUGUCGGCAAACGAUACCGCCAAAGUUGCGACCGUUGAAUUGUGCAGCAGUGCCAGGUUUUAAUUCUUUGUUAAUUUGCUAACUGCCAUUGUAAUACCUUCCGAGCCGGUGACUCCAGGUUUAAAUUCGUAAUUAUGUGGGUAAACACUUAACAUAUACAUUAAUAAUGCAGUAAUUAGGUGUCACGUUUGCAUUUCCAUCGAUGCCGGUAGCAUGUACGAAUGCUAGGAUUUUAAUAUACAUAUGUUCACUGUAAUAAACAUUUAAUAUAUGUUAUCAUGCACUGUACAAUUUUGGAUUCUAAAAUUGCCGAAAAACAAACCGGAAAUGAUUAAUUUUUGUGUUGCGCGCUCGUACAGGUUCUAUACUUUACACUCUGUUU